RNAcentral lists this unclassified non-coding RNA (304 nucleotides) under uncultured fungus. RNAcentral's name for it is "partial contains small subunit ribosomal RNA, internal transcribed spacer 1, and 5.8S ribosomal RNA". The stretch from base 1 to 73 matches the Rfam family "Eukaryotic small subunit ribosomal RNA", at positions 1759 to 1831 of the family's 1831-position model. Lineage: Eukaryota; Fungi. The record is from RNAcentral.
ACAAACUUGGUCAUUUAGAGGAAGUAAAAGUCGUAACAAGGUUUCCGUAGGUGAACCUGCGGAAGGAUCAUUACCGAGUGCGGGACCCCUCGCGGGCCCAACCUCCCACCCUUGUCUAUCGUACCUUGUUGCUUCGGCGGGCCCGCCAUCAUGGCCGCCGGGGGCCUCGCGCCCCGGGCCCGCGCCCGCCGGAGACACCAACACGAACACUGUCUGAAUACUUGCAGUCUGAGUCGAUUGUAACAAAUCAGUCAAAACUUUCAACAAUGGAUCUCUUGGUUCCGGCAUCGAUGAAGAACGCAGC